Molecule: non-coding RNA, 4512 nt
Organism: Osmia lignaria (orchard mason bee)
Lineage: Eukaryota; Metazoa; Arthropoda; Insecta; Hymenoptera; Megachilidae
Source: RefSeq, a predicted model, not a curated record
CUCACGUUUCUAACCCGAAGAACCCCCGGUCAUUCGCGCGAAACUCAUCUGAUAUGAUCGUCAUUGGAAGAACGUUUAAUCUUGCGUGCACUUGACUCGAGAGCGAGUGCAACCUGUGCCCCAUAUUUUGAGAGGGGUAGAGAACCCCAGAGGGUUCACCCUAGAGACCGUCGAUACGACGCUUUAAAUAAAUUUCAAUUUGAUAAAGGGAUGGGGGACGAGGGACAGGGUGGGGGCGGUGAAGAGAUGUGUGUAUCAGUUUCACCAGGCUAUGCUCGUGUUUAACGAGCUAUUGAUACCUUCCACCACUGGCCCUUGCCCCUCUCUCAAGAACUGCAGACUCGCCACAAAAGAAUCGCUUCCCCUUUUCGACUGGAUGUGUUCCAACGAGGAAAACCACCACAUGUGAUACGCGUUAAACCGCUACGAAGCUGAACAGAGCUCUAUUCUAAAGUCUUGCCCUAUGUCCUAUGUUCUAUGGGAAAGUUCAGAUGCACCGGACAAGCUAUGGAAUAAGAAAAUUAAGUUUUACGGUCAACCAACGAUGCGGGGUAAAUUUCUGCCUCUCCUCGCUUCGUGGGAAGUUUUCAGGGAAUACUGAUGCUGAAUCGUCACGAUUCCACUAUUAUUUUAUACGGCAUAUUAAACAUACAUGUGCAGAAAUAUUUCAACACUUUUGAAGAAAACGGAACGCUAUAGCUUUUCGAGGAAGCGGCUUUCUGCGCAACUCUACUUUUCAUAGAAAUACGGACUCAACAAAGCACAGGAAUUCUUUGAAAGAACAAGAAAGAACAAGAAAGAGAGAGAAAGCAAGGUAGGUUUGAUCGUGAGUAGUAUUCUCUCUGCUGAAUGAAAAAAAAAUCUGAAAGAAAGAAGACAGGAAGUGCGUAUACCUACGAGGAUCCGUUUCUCCGUUAUUUAUUAUUCUUAAUUUCUAUCCUGAAGGUUCGUCUAACGAUAAAACGAACGAACUGAGAAAGAGUAGAAGACUGUUCUCUCGCAAUAGAUAGAAUUUCAUGCAUAUGAUGGCCUUUCGAUUAUGGUAAUGAUCAUUCACGCACGGAUUCUACAGGAGGACGAAGCAAUCUUCUGUUGAUUUGUUAAGGUAUAAAUAAAGGAAAGCUCGGCAGCUGGUCAAAGAUCGUUGCGGAUCUCUAUAGAUCCUACAAUAUAAAUCGUACAGUCUGCCUUUCUAAAACACGUGCCAGCCACAUGUUGCACAAAAGGGGAAUCCUUAGUGAUCCUUUCGAGCAUCGUAGCGUAAGUCGUAGUCACAAAGGAGCUUUAGGAGGCCAUAAAUGAUUCUUUUUCGGUCGUAGAGAUCGAAGAGCAGCAGAUGUUUUGUCGCCUUCGUAUUCUUCGAAGACGUUCCACCUUGAUCCAGUCGGCAAGAACGAAAAGAAAAGAAAAGGAAAGGAAAAGAAAGGAGAAGAUAGAAAAAAAUUUACGAUUGAUCCUUCCGAGAUAUGUAAAAGCAAUUGCUCAAACAUCUAGUAUAGUAACUUUAGCAAACGAUAUUCUGUUGAAGGUAAAGGAUCGAAGUGAAUUUUGUAAGUUAAUCUUGGGCAGUGUGAACAGUUUGCCUAUGGUGCAUCUAAUGAUUAGUACAGUCUACGACAAGGGUAGAGGAACGGAAAGAUUCUUGAGAAGGAACACGUGGUUGAGAAGGAACCAUCUGUUGGCAUCCUGCUCCGGUUAUAACCCGACCUAAGCUGGCUCUUUUACUUACUUACUUACGUAGGUAUGUACAAGUUCUUUUCUACCUCGCUUUGAAUGCUUCAACACUUUUCUUUUUAUUAGGAAAAAAAAAAAAAAUACCAAUGUCAAUUAAGCGAACUCGUAGAUCAAGUAAGUAAAUUUCUUUCAGUGAAAAUAAAAUUUUUAAUUUAAAAAGUAACGUGCUUAGAGAAGAGGUAAAGAAAAAAAUUUAUUAGGUGAAAAUAAAGGCGAUUAAUAAAGCGUAAAUUUUCCCAGCAAUUUUAGUUAAUGCAAAUAUUUAGUUAAGACUUGGUAGGGGUUUUAAGAGGCGGGUGCAAAGAUCCAUACCAUAUGUUGUAUACUUUUUUUCUUUUUUCUCCCUUCGCCUUCUUACCAUUUAUUUUUACCAACAGAGAAACACACUUUUCCGACAACUUUUCCAUUACUGUAAUAUGAUAUCGAAAAAACGAUAUCAUUGUAAAAGAUGGAAUCACGUGGAACGUUUAAGCGGUCCGCUUUGAGUUCGCGGUAAAAGGUGUUCGAAGCAGGUAAAGCAUUCCUACUGAAACAGCUCUACCUGACCCACGCUGCCUGGCUUUCACGCUGCAUUUUCGACCCAACAACAGUUUCUCUCCAUGUACGAGAUCUAAAAGGAACUAGAUACCUAAAAUGUAUAAUACCUACAUAGAUGCUAACGAUAAGUGAAAAAUAUGUCAAGAAGAAUUGAAGAUAGAAAGAUACUAUAGUGAAAUUUAUCAUGUUAAAGCGUUGAAACAGAGCUUGACUCGAUGGACAGAACUACGUCAGAUGCUGAAACGAUGCUAACACUUAAAUGUCAAGUUUAAAAUCAAGUUUCCUAAAGGACAGUAGUAUCCUUCAAGUACCUAUGUCAAAAGUCUCACCUAUUAUUAUUUAUUAUUAUGUACACUUAUUUUCAUUUACUCUGAAUGUUUAAUAUUUCACCAGUAACAAUGUUUAAACACGGUUUCACAGUUGUCGAAGAAAACGAGGAGAAAGAUGUCCCGAAACUGUCUUUUAAAACCUUACUUAUUCGACUGGACGGCGAAUUACUGUACAUAUGUACAUACAUACAUACAUAUAUUGAAAGAAAAUCCGAAGGAACGCGUCGUACGAGUCUCAGAAUUAUUGAAAAGCGGUGCUCGAAAGCCCUGGCUUAAGAACCCAAUAUCGAGGGUUCUCCAGGAAGCUUUAGAUAUUGCGCAUCUACCAGAAAUCGUUCCGUGAAACGUGCUUUCUCCGUAUCGGACGAUAUUUCUCUAACAAGCAGUUUAAAGAAGGACAAGGAUAAAAGACCAUAGGAGAGGAAACGUGUGUGACGAGACUGUUUCUUCUCUGGAAUAUCCGGUUCGCCACGCGUACUGCGUGUGUCUUGCUUCACGUCACAACACACACCUGCUUCCUUACAGCUGUUCCCUGGUUCGUGGUGGCAAACUAACUCUCUUGUCAAAUACAAGGAAGUAGCGCAUUGGGGACAGCCACCCCUCGACGAAUGCAAGGAUACGUGUUUUACAAACGCCACUGCUGACCCACCUCGCAACAGAUGCAAGAAUAUGCCUUUUUUCUCUCCAUCUUUUUUCUACUUUUAGGGUGCGCGCACUUACACACGUACACACGUUGUCCCCAGAGACGUUUAUCGCAAGGGACGACGAACUCAGCCGGUUAACUAGAGUAUUGUUCGAUUAUUAUUUCGGUACAUAUCGCGCACUUGUUAUCUCUUUAUGCGGUCAUAUGGUGGUAACAAGGGUGGUUCCUCGAUCCCGGAUCUGUCAUUGCUUCGAGAAACAACCAAACUAUGCGACAAUUUCUUUUCAUCCGACGUAAGAUCUUUAAACUGACUUGAUUCUGACUGAAACUAAACUUUCCAAUUUUUUAAUAGUCUGCAAUUUAAUCCUUUAUCGAAGGAUAAUGACAUUAGAAAAUGUAUUUAUGGCAAAGCACAGGGAAUGUUUCUAUUUUUUUUUCCAGGCUAGAGAAUAUCUAUCGAUGAAACUUUAAAAGUAUUUGAAGGGGUGUUUUAUCGAACAAAGACUGGGGUACACGAACUUCCAGGCAAUCUGCGUGGAACCUGUGGCCUCUCUGUUACAGAUUCAACGAUAUCCAAAAACGUUGAAAGUUAAUUCGAAGAGAGCAAGUGGCGAGUUAGAGAGGUCGAAGAGGAAGCGGUAGAUCGUCGACGGAGGAGAAAGGGAGGACAAUGAUCCUCGGAAACGGCGGACGGGGCACGGGGCACGGCGUAGAGCGGAGAACAUCUGCUUUGCUCCGGAUCACAGCGUGUCCUCCUUCAAUGAGGCGAUCGGCGUCGUGAAACUUGUCCCACCUCGGCGUGCAUAGGUAUUCAUUAUCUUCGUCUCUGGGUACACACUGCACACGUUUCAUCCUUUUUCACCACGACCUUUUUUGGUCCACGAAACAUCUGCGGCAGCUGCGAGGCGGUGGCCUGCCGCAGUACUCGGGACCAAGCAGGUGCUCACCUUCGAAGAAGCUUCUCCUUAGCCCUACCAAUUACGCGUGCCUCUUUCUGCCUCGUUCUACCUCUUUCUGUCUCUCCCACUUAUAUUUUUUUCUCUCUCUCUCUCUCUCUCUCUCUACUCUUCUACACGUCUCUCCGGCUUUUUCAUUUUUUCUCAUUAUUACUCAUUACUCGUGUAACUAAUAUAAAUUUCUAGUGGGAUGAAUGAUUAACGCUUAAGAACGAUUUAGAGAGCAGAUGCACCAUAAAACGAACCGUUCCGUAUAGUAUAAACUAUAAACUAUAAAUUAUCACGAGUCCACGAGGAAAAAUCGAGACAUGAA